Molecule: ribosomal RNA, 442 nt
Filed under: uncultured bacterium
Lineage: Bacteria
Description: partial 16S ribosomal RNA
Rfam family: Bacterial small subunit ribosomal RNA
Source: RNAcentral
CCUACGGGAGGCUGCAGUGGGGAAUAUUGGGCAAUGGGCGCAAGCCUGACCCAGCAACGCCGCGUGAAGGAAGAAGGCUUUCGGGUUGUAAACUUCUUUUAAGAGGGAAGAGUAGAAGACGUUACCUCUUGAAUAAGCCACGGCGAACUACGUGCAAGCAGCCGCGGUAAUAGGUAGGUGGCAAGCGUUGUCCGGAUUUACUGGGUGUAAAGGGCGUGUAGCCGGGCCGGCAAGUCAGAUGUGAAAUCCCAAGGCUCAACCUUGGAACUGCAUUUGAAAUUGUUGGACUAGAGUAUGGGAGAGGCAAGCGGAAUUCCUAGUGUAGCGGUGAAAUGCGUAGAUAUUAGGAGGAACACCAGUGGCGAAGGCGGCCUACUGGACGGAAACUGACGGUGAGGCACGAAAGCGUGGGGAGCAAACAGGAUUAGAUACCCCUGUAGUC